AGAGUUUGAUCAUGGCUCAGGAUGAACGCUGGCGGCGUGCCUAAUACAUGUAAGUCGAACGGACGAAUAGCAAUAUUUGUGAGUGGCGAACGGGUGAGUAGCGCGUGGGUGACCUGCCCCGAAGUGAGGGAUAACAGUUCGAAAGGGCUGCUAAUACCCCAUGUGGUUACGGGAGUUAGAGAACCGUAAGUAAAGGAGCAAUCCGCUUCGGGAGGGACCUGCGACCCAUCAGCUAGUUGGUAAGGUAACGGCCUACCAAGGCGACGACGGGUAGGGGGCCUGAGAGGGUGGCCCCCCACACUGGCACUGAAACACGGGCCAGACACCUACGGGUGGCAGCAGUAGGGAAUAUUGCACAAUGGGCACAAGCCUGAUGCAGCAGCGCCGCGUGCGCGAUGAAGGCCUUCGGGUCGUAAAGCGCUUUUCUGGAGGAGGAGGAAGGACCGUACUCCAGGAAUAAGUCUCGGCUAACUGCGUGCCAGCAGCCGCGGUAAUAC
Molecule: ribosomal RNA, 497 nt
Filed under: uncultured bacterium
Lineage: Bacteria
Description: bacterial SSU rRNA
Rfam family: Bacterial small subunit ribosomal RNA
Source: RNAcentral